Molecule: unclassified non-coding RNA, 167 nt
Filed under: uncultured Tremellomycetes
Lineage: Eukaryota; Fungi; Basidiomycota; Tremellomycetes
Description: sequence contains ITS2
Source: RNAcentral
AGACUUCAACCCCUCGGGUUUUUCCCGGGGAGGCUGGACUUGGGCGCUGCCAUUCACUUGGCUCGCCUCAAAUGCGUCAGUGGUGAUCAGACCAAUGACCGGAGUAAUAAGUUUCUCUGGCCUGUGUCGACGAUGGCUGCUCAUAACCCGCCCUCGGGCAUCUAUGA